RNAcentral lists this ribosomal RNA (324 nucleotides) under uncultured bacterium. Its description in RNAcentral is "bacterial SSU rRNA". It matches the Rfam family "Bacterial small subunit ribosomal RNA", at positions 18 to 344 of the family's 1533-position model. The record is from RNAcentral.
CAUGGCUCAGAUUGAACGCUGGCGGCAGGCCUAACACAUGCAAGUCGAGCGGAUGACGGGAGCUUGCUCCUUGAUUCAGCGGCGGACGGGUGAGUAAUGCCUAGGAAUCUGCCUGGUAGUGGGGGACAACGUUUCGAAAGGAACGCUAAUACCGCAUACGUCCUACGGGAGAAAGCAGGGGACCUUCGGGCCUUGCGCUAUCAGAUGAGCCUAGGUCGGAUUAGCUUGUUGGUGAGGUAAUGGCUCACCAAGGCGACGAUCCGUAACUGGUCUGAGAGGAUGAUCAGUCACACUGGAACUGAGACACGGUCCAGACUCCUACGG